AUCCCCACCUCUCCUCUUGGCAUUAAUAUAGCAACAACUGGAACUUGUCUGUAUAUUUUGUUCACAGGAAUUCAGUUACAAAUGCUGCAGCAAGAAAGUGGGGAACUGCGAAGUUCAAGCGCCUUAAUGAAAUUUCAGCUAAAGCAUUUCAGGCUCUGCUGAGACCCUGCAAAGCCAGAGGUUCUGCAAGCAAGCCUGUGGAGCCAGGCUCGUUCAGCCAUGGAUGCCUCCAGAAGCUGCUGCACUGACUGGCAGACAAGGCACAGUGACAAACAGCAGUGACGGCACAGCACAGGCACAGUGACAAACAGCAGUGAUGGCACAGCACAGGCACAGUGACAAACAGCAGUGAUGGCACAGCAAAGCACAGUGACAAACAGCAGUGAUGGCACAGCACAGGCACAGUGACAAACAGCAGUGAUGGCACAGCACAGGCACAGUGACAAACAGCAGUGACAGCACAGCAAAGCACAGUGACAAACAGCAGUGAUGGCACAAGUGGGUGACAUCACCCGAUUUUGACCUCCAGUCCUGUGAUUUGGUCACAGGUCAGGCUAUCCUUUUAUUGACCGUGCAAGCAUCUAUAGAGCUCCUCAGCAGUACAGACUAAUGGAAGUGGAUGUCUGUGCUUGCACUUGUGGCUACAGAGGUUGUUACUUUGUUCAUCAGAAGAGCCCUGUAAACACAGUCCUACAAGUCACUGAUGUGUUCUUCAUUUUAAGUAAGCUCACAGUAAUGCUACACGUGUGUGUGGCAAGAAUGAAGGAGCCUAGAAAUCAUGCAGCUGCCUAACACCUCUCCGGCCCUCUUGGAGGCAGACACACUCCUUCUGGAGCCAGCUACACAGAAGGUCUAAUCAAAUGGCUUAAUGGAUUCCCAUGGAGAGAAGGAAGUAGAUUACUGUAGACCACUGGACAGACAUGGCCUUACAGCACUUUCAGCAAUGUGGUGCACAAUAAUCAGAAAAGAACUGUGCUGCAGUUGUCCUGUUAUUUCAGAAACCUUUCUGAAUCCCUCUUUUGAUGACAGGCUAAUGAUAUGUGAACAGAGAGCUGAGAACAUCACGUGCUGCAGUAUACAGAAAGAUACUGCCCAACCCUCAAGCUUCGUUUUGUCCCUUUUCUCAAAAACAGACACAUGAUUCCCCUUUACCAUUUCUUUGUUUUCAAGCUACCAAAUUAACACAAAUUUAUUUUUAAGGCAAUUUUCCCUUCCAUUCAUAAUAACUCAGUGGGAACAUUAUCAACACCCAGUGCUUUAUUGUUCCUGGGUGUUCUGGUCAGCUCUUCGUUCUUCUAGAAAUGGCUCAGCUGUCUGGAAAAUGCUUUACUGGAUAAAAUACUCCCUCCAUCUUUCUGUAAUUACAUUAUUUUAACUAAGUCUUCCAUUUUUGUCCCUUAUCUGACCUAUGCACUGUUCUCGUCCUUGUCUUAAAUGCUGAUAUCCCAGGAAAAUGGUCUGAAGCUAUCUUAUAAUGCUGCCACUUCUACUGCACAGAGCCCUUUUUGUGCUGUACUAUCUUGCUGCUGAAUCCUUUGCAUUACCAAAGGACUUAGGGAAGUCACAAAAAUCAUCACCACACAUUGCUUUCUUACAGUCCCCAUCAAAAACUUUUUGUUUGUUUUCUUAGUUUUAUAUUUUUCUUCAUUUUAUUUUUAUUUUUUCUCCUACUCUUUUUUUGACCCCAAGUGUUUUCAAGCUGGUAUCAAAUUGUUCCACAAUGAUCAAGUGCGUUCCCAUCCGUACACUUGGUAUCCUCUGACAAGUUCACAUGGUAGGAGUUCUAAAUGCGGAUAUAAAAUAUCCACCUCUUUCAGUGCUGCUGCAUUUCUUCCCUUGCUAUUUUACAUAUUUUAACCCUGUCUGCACAACGAUGCCAAGAGUUUUUCACACAUUCCACCAGCUCUGCCAGCAUUUAUGGGCACUCAGAAACUAAGGAUAUGGCAUAAUUCCCACUCUGAAUCACAAAACACCAUGAGCUUCCUUACAGAAUUUUAUUAUAAAAUAUACAAAACAACGUGUUUCUUCAUACUUCUUGAAGAGUGAUGAAAGUAAUAACCACGAAGUACACAACUUUGAAAAUUUCAGCCCAAGUCAAACAAUUUUAGUAAAAAAAAUUCUCUAGAUUAUAAACUUUCUUA
Long non-coding RNA from Zonotrichia albicollis (white-throated sparrow), 2141 nucleotides. Lineage: Eukaryota; Metazoa; Chordata; Aves; Passeriformes; Passerellidae. The record is from Ensembl.